This 57-nucleotide transfer RNA is filed under the name Hygrobates longiporus. Its description in RNAcentral is "tRNA-Pro". Lineage: Eukaryota; Metazoa; Arthropoda; Arachnida; Trombidiformes; Hygrobatidae. The record is from RNAcentral.
CAGAGAAUAGUUUAUAACAGAACAAAGGCUUUGGGGGCUUUUAGAUUUUAACUCUGA